CAGUCGCCGCGGGAAAACGAAGGGUGCAGGCGUUAAUCGGAAUUACUGGGCGUAAAGCGUGCGUAGGCGGUUUGUUAAGUCUGUUGUGAAAUCCCCGGGCUCAACCUGGGAAUGGCAAUGGAUACUGGCAAGCUAGAGUGUGGCAGAGGGGGGUGGAAUUCCGCGUGUAGCAGUGAAAUGCGCAGAUAUGCGGAGGAACACCGAUGGCGAAGGCAGCCCCCAGGGCCAACACUGACGCUCAUGCACGAAAGCGUGGGGAGCAAACAGGAUUAGAUACCCCUGUAGUCCCUGUCUCUUAUAC
RNAcentral lists this ribosomal RNA (301 nucleotides) under uncultured bacterium. RNAcentral describes it as "partial 16S ribosomal RNA". It matches the Rfam family "Bacterial small subunit ribosomal RNA", at positions 509 to 807 of the family's 1533-position model. The record is from RNAcentral.